CUAAAAAACCGAAUCUCAGUUCGGAUUGAAGUCUGAAAUUCGACUUCAUGAAGCUGGAAUUGCUAGUAAUGGCAGGUCAGCAUACUGCCGUGAAUACGUUCCCGGGCCUUGUACACACCGCCCGUCACACCAUGAGAGUUGGGAAUACCCGAAGCCUGUGAGCUAACUGUAAAGAGGCCGCAGUCGAAGGUAGAAUCAAUGAUUGGGGUGAAGUCGUAACAAGGUAUC
RNAcentral lists this ribosomal RNA (228 nucleotides) under uncultured bacterium. RNAcentral describes it as "partial 16S ribosomal RNA". It matches the Rfam family "Bacterial small subunit ribosomal RNA", at positions 1273 to 1500 of the family's 1533-position model. The record is from RNAcentral.